GGUCCGGUAGCUCAGUUGGAUAGAGCAGCAGCCUUCUAAGCUGCGGGUCAGGCGUUCGAGUCGCCUCCGGAUCACCA
RNAcentral lists this transfer RNA (77 nucleotides) under Bacteroidota bacterium. RNAcentral's name for it is "tRNA-Arg". It matches the Rfam family "tRNA". From Rfam's summary of the family: Transfer RNA (tRNA) molecules are approximately 80 nucleotides in length. RNAcentral also lists the same sequence under 1 other name. The record is from RNAcentral. Lineage: Bacteria; Pseudomonadati; Bacteroidota.